GUGGUAACCAACACAGGACUGUGUGAUGCAUGGAGCUGAACAACCAGCUGCUUCUGACCAGUCUUCCCUGUGUUGGUUACUUUGAGGAUCUCUGUGCUAGCUGAUUUAUCUACAAAGACAAUGUCAGUUGGCAACAAACCCAAGUUUCAUCACGUUCUUCUACAACUGGCAUAAGAUAAAAGAAGCCAGAGUCUUGCCUAGUAAACUGGAAUUCACAUGAGAAGUGAAGUUCUACAGGACAAGAUUAAUAAGUCUGAGCAUCUGUGCCUAUCAGCACAUCAGCAAAGUAGAAGGACAUAGAGUUCUCCAAUAAGAAGAAUGAAUAUUAGAGCUAUGAUACAAGCAGGUUCAACAAUUACCCCACUGUUACUGUCCCCAAGGCCAAGCGAAAGCAGGCAAAAGGAUAGUAACAACAAGAGUUACUUCCACAGAAGCCUCAGAAGUCCUUAAGGUAUGGAGGAGGAAGAAAUACCUAGAACAGAUGAUUGGAGCAAAUGUGCUAGGAGAGAGAAAUGG
Harpia harpyja (harpy eagle) is the source of this 516-nucleotide long non-coding RNA. RefSeq lists it as uncharacterized. The transcript is spliced from 5 exons. The record is from RefSeq and is a predicted model, not a curated record. Lineage: Eukaryota; Metazoa; Chordata; Aves; Accipitriformes; Accipitridae.